AUUGUAGUUUAUAAUAUUAUAUAUAUAAUUAAUUGAUAAAUUGAAAUUUAAGUGAGGGCCAUGCGGCCAACUACGUGGGCAUGCGGCCCAUGAGCCACAGAUUGAACACCCUUGCUAAAGAGGUAUAAAAUAUAUUUUGGUACAUUAAAUCUACAACAUGUGUAAAAAAAAAAUAAAAUUAGUGCAUAUUUGUACUUUAUUAAGCGCAUAAGUUAUCUUAAUAAUGCCGAAAAAACUACUUUUUUUUAGUUUUUAUUUGGGAGGUAUGAAAAGUAGACCAGAUUAUAAGUUAUACUUAGUAAUCAAAAUAAAAAUUUGAACUUAAUGUAGCAGUUUUUUUUUUAAUAAAUUUAAAUAAAACAUUUAAUGAUAACUGAAUUUCAAAACAUGUGUAACCAAAACCUUAACUCAGAAUCGUAUUUUAUUAGGAAUGAUUUAUCAUUGCUUUCAGAUAUAAUU
Molecule: non-coding RNA, 459 nt
Organism: Cinara cedri
Lineage: Eukaryota; Metazoa; Arthropoda; Insecta; Hemiptera; Aphididae
Source: the annotation of a GenBank genome assembly